Molecule: ribosomal RNA, 626 nt
Filed under: uncultured Salinivibrio sp.
Lineage: Bacteria; Pseudomonadati; Pseudomonadota; Gammaproteobacteria; Vibrionales; Vibrionaceae
Description: bacterial SSU rRNA
Rfam family: Bacterial small subunit ribosomal RNA
Source: RNAcentral
AGAGAUCUGAAGGAAUACCAGUGGCGAAGGCGGCCCCCUGGACAAAGACUGACGCUCAGAUGCGAAAGCGUGGGUAGCAAACAGGAUUAGAUACCCUGGUAGUCCACGCCGUAAACGCUGUCUACUUGGAGGUUGAGGUUUAGACUUUGGCUUUCGGCGCUAACGCAUUAAGUAGACCGCCUGGGGAGUACGGCCGCAAGGUUAAAACUCAAAUGAAUUGACGGGGGCCCGCACAAGCGGUGGAGCAUGUGGUUUAAUUCGAUGCAACGCGAAGAACCUUGCCUACUCUUGACAUCCAGCGAAGCCUUUAGAGAUAGAGGCGUGCCUUCGGGAGCGCUGAGACAGGUGCUGCAUGGCUGUCGUCAGCUCGUGUUGUGAAAUGUUGGGUUAAGUCCCGCAACGAGCGCAACCCUUAUCCUUGUUUGCCAGCACAUAAUGGUGGGAACUCCAGGGAGACUGCCGGUGAUAAACCGGAGGAAGGUGGGGACGACGUCAAGUCAUCAUGGCCCUUACGAGUAGGGCUACACACGUGCUACAAUGGCAGAUACAGAGGGCAGCGAAGCUGCGAAGUGGAGCGAAUCCCUUAAAGUCUGUCGUAGUCCGGAUUGGAGUCUGCAACUCGACUC